GAUAUGGCUCAGGAUGAACGCUGGCGGCGUGCCUAACACAUGCAAGUCGAGCGAGAAGCUCAUGACGGACGCUUCGGUUGAAGUCACGAGUGGAAAGCGGCGGACGGGUGAGUAACGCGUAGGCAACCUGCCCUUUGCAGAGGGAUAGCCUCGGGAAACCGGGAUUAAAACCUCAUAAUACCGCAGUGAGACAUCUCACGGCGGUCAAAGAUUUAUCGGCAAAGGAUGGGCCUGCGU
This 237-nucleotide ribosomal RNA is filed under the name uncultured bacterium. Its description in RNAcentral is "partial 16S ribosomal RNA". It matches the Rfam family "Bacterial small subunit ribosomal RNA", at positions 15 to 236 of the family's 1533-position model. The record is from RNAcentral.